Long non-coding RNA from Bos taurus (domestic cattle), 2201 nucleotides. The record is from Ensembl. Lineage: Eukaryota; Metazoa; Chordata; Mammalia; Artiodactyla; Bovidae.
GGCACUGAACCCAUAAACAACAAGACACAGCUUCUUCCUUCAAAGAGGAGUACAGUGAGUACACAGGGACAGUGUGACCUACUAAGAAAAGGUGUGGACUUCGGAGUCAUAGUCCAAAGUCUUAAUCCUGUUUGCUGCCAAACACCUCUCUGAGCUCUGCUUUUUCACCUGGAAAAUCAAGAUGCCAGAGACAGAGGAAUCCACCUGAAAUGCAGAUGUGAUCCUGGGACCUUCUCUCUGUCUGCCCACUGCCCACUCCCAAGAGGAAACUUCUGUUUCUCAGCCUUGCUUUCAGGGCCCUCUGAGACCUGGUCUUCCACCUUCUUGGCCCGGAAAACCCAAAACCAAACCACAUAAUGAGUCUUGUGAGCAAGCCACUACCUCUGAGCAUUAGACCCUGUACUUCAAACAACACAGCAGACGUGGGAAGAGUCCUUUGAUUUGUAAUGCUGAGGCAUGUUCUGUACCCUAGCUGGAAUGAGGCUGAGAAAGCAAGGAUACGGCAAUCUAGAAUUUGAGAGUGGGAAGUGGGCUCUGGCCUCUCACAGGGCAGGAAUUCCCUAGAUGCAGAAAGACACUCAGAGAGUUGGCGUCCGAUGAAGUCCACUGCAGAACUGUUACAGGAGCUUCAACCAACUCAGCCACCCACGUGGAUGACACUCCCUGGGGAAAAGAGGAGAACUUGAACAAAGCUCAAAGGGGGUGCCCAACUAACUCUGCAACACUUGGGGAUUUAGGCAAAAGUGAAAGUUCUCCGUUUCAGCUGGCAGCAGACUGCUGCUCGGUGGGUCUCCUGUUCAGCGGGGCAGGGAGCCCUACGGGAAGUCCUCCAGCUGGCGUCUGUGUGAGAGCUUGGCUCAAGUGGCACCGAGUGUCUCACCUCUGUUCAUGGAAAGGCUACUGCGGAGCUGUCGCUACAAGCAGGAUUCUGCUGUUGGCAAAGCAGGGACAGCGGCUCACCCAGCCCUGAAGGGAGUAAUAACCGAAACAGAGUCCCUGGCGCACAGAAGAUGUCUCUCGGGGAGUUUAAGGAUGAGCAGAAAAGGGAAAAUUGACACGAGACUAGAAUUCCUUAAAAUGAAGUGGGAGCUUGAAACUAGCAAGACUGGGAUAUUAGUGUUAAAAUCCAACAUGUCAGAAACACAUGGAUCACAUAUGCAACUGCAGAAACAUCUGGCAUCUUACUUCUGGGACCAGAGCUCUUAGGAAAAGGAAGAAAGAGCGCUCUGGCUAAGUGGUUUCCUUUUUCCUCCUACAGAGCACGUGAGGCAGCCUUCCUAGAAUGCUCUGCCUACAUCCUCAGGUUUGUCAAGUUGUUUUCUUCUAGACGUCCAAAUCUCAGCAAUCAAGACACAUGUUGAGAGGGGUCUGCUUCGAUGCCUCAGUGGAUAACUGCUGCGCCUUCCCCUGCCCCAGCGACUCUGAUCAUAUGACUCAUUCUAUUGUCUUCAAAGAAUAUAAACCUAGAUAAAUUCUUAACACUUAUUUCUUGUUACGUUUAUUGUCCAUCCCCACGUAAACAUUUACCAAACGUGGACUCCAUGAGAAGAGUGGUUCUUGAUAACUUAUGUUGUUCCUGAUAAAUUCGUAGAGGCUUAGAACAAUAACUGGAGCGUACAGAAGGUGGGCAACAAAGCCCUGUCAAAUGAAGAGGAGGGUGGGCUCCUCAGAGUUAAGGCUAUUCAGUAUCACACAAACAUUAAAACUGCAGGUCUGUCUUUAUUUCAAUUCAAACAACUGUCUCUCAUUAUUAAAAAAUCUCUGUAUAAAAUCCUCUACACCUUUUCUGCCUAGGAUAUUCCUCUUCCCAACUGCACCCCCUCCCCCAAUUCCUAUCCAGACACAUACUCUACCUGCUUAAUUCCUUCCCAAUCCUUCUGGUCCAUCCAAUCUUUCACAAAGGAUGAGAGAAGCCAGGGCUCAGAACCAACAUAAACAGCAAAUGAGAACAGGAGGGCAUCUGAGGACAGGAGAGGCACAGGAGAACGUCAGUCUACCAAGACAGAUCACCCAGGAGCCAAACCCAGGAUGCGUGAAUUAUACUACAGCUGGGUACUGUGCUAAGCACUUACCAAACAAGAUCGAUUUUUUUUUUUCAAAACAACCCUAUGAGGAAGGACUAUUGUCAUCACAUAUUACAGAUGAAAAAAAGCUAGAAGUAAUCCAAACAAAAGACCAUGGAUAACCCAGAUAAUUUAAGC